This 371-nucleotide ribosomal RNA is filed under the name uncultured organism. RNAcentral's name for it is "partial 16S ribosomal RNA". It matches the Rfam family "Bacterial small subunit ribosomal RNA", at positions 527 to 896 of the family's 1533-position model. The record is from RNAcentral.
GGAGGGGGCUAGCGUUGUUCGGAAUUACUGGGCGUAAAGCGCGCGUAGGCGGACCUGCAAGUCGGGGGUGAAAGCCCGAGGCUCAACCUCGGAACUGCCUUCGAUACUGCGGGUCUCGAGUCCGGGAGAGGUGAGUGGAAUUCCUAGUGUAGAGGUGAAAUUCGUAGAUAUUAGGAAGAACACCAGUGGCGAAGGCGGCUCACUGGCCCGGUACUGACGCGGAGGCGCGAAAGCGUGGGGAGCAAACAGGAUUAGAUACCCUGGUAGUCCACGCCGUAAACUAUGGGUGCUAGCCGUCGGUCGGCAUGCCCGGUCGGUGGCGCAGCAAACGCAUUAAGCACCCCCGCCUGGGGAGUACGGUCGCAAGAUUA